RNAcentral lists this ribosomal RNA (258 nucleotides) under uncultured bacterium. Its description in RNAcentral is "partial 16S ribosomal RNA". It matches the Rfam family "Bacterial small subunit ribosomal RNA", at positions 96 to 354 of the family's 1533-position model. The record is from RNAcentral.
UGGCGAACGGGUGAGUAAUACAUCGGAACGUGUCCGCUCGUGGGGGACAACCAGCCGAAAGGUUGGCUAAUACCGCAGUGAGUUCUACGGAAGAAANAGGGGGACCCGCAAGGGCCUCUCGCGAGCGGAGCGGCCGAUGACUGAUUAGCCGGUUGGUGAGGUAACGGCUCACCAAAGCAACGAUCAGUAGCUGGUCUGAGAGGACGACCAGCCACACUGGGACUGAGACACGGCCCAGACUCCUACGGAAGGCAGCAG